UGGCGGACGGGUGAGUAAAGUAUCGGAACGUGCCCAGUCGUGGGGGAUAACGUAGCGAAAGUUACGCUAAUACCGCAUACGAUCUAUGGAUGAAAGCGGGGGAUCGCAAGACCUCGCGCGAUUGGAGCGGCCGAUAUCAGAUUAGGUAGUUGGUGGGGUAAAGGCUCACCAAGCCGACGAUCUGUAGCUGGUCUGAGAGGACGACCAGCCACACUGGGACUGAGACACGGCCCAGACUCCUACGGGAGGCAGCAGUGGGGAAUUUUGGACAAUGGGCGCAAGCCUGAUCCAGCCAUGCCGCGUGCAGGAUGAAGGCCUUCGGGUUGUAAACUGCUUUUGUACGGAACGAAAAGGUUUGGCCUAAUACGCUGAACUCAUGACGGUACCGUAAGAAUAAGCACCGGCUAACUACGUGCCAGCAGCCGCGGUAAU
RNAcentral lists this ribosomal RNA (432 nucleotides) under uncultured bacterium. RNAcentral's name for it is "bacterial SSU rRNA". It matches the Rfam family "Bacterial small subunit ribosomal RNA", at positions 96 to 524 of the family's 1533-position model. The record is from RNAcentral.